CUUGAUUUGGGCUUGAGGAAUAAUGAUGAAUUUCGUACUGUUAUUGGUAAUUCUGUGUAACAUUCUCUAGUUCUGCGCACAAUGGUCUCCACUGGGAUGCACUUGAUGAUGUGAAUGGCUUCUUCAGCGGUGACUGCUAUCCGGGUCCUUUCAUUAGUCGUCUGCAUCGGUGUUGGAUGACGUUAUGGUAGAGGGAGAUCAUCUGAGUCCUGACAUGUUUCUCCACGUAGACGAAUUUAGAGUUGACAGAAUGUAGCCGCAAAGAAAUAGCUGUAUCGUAGUCGUCAAAGCGAAGGUGAUAUCUUGCGUCUCCA
Long non-coding RNA from Dinoponera quadriceps, 314 nucleotides. RefSeq lists it as uncharacterized. The record is from RefSeq and is a predicted model, not a curated record. NCBI's taxonomy places the organism in Eukaryota, Metazoa, Arthropoda, Insecta, Hymenoptera, Formicidae. The transcript has 3 exons.